CAGCAGCCGCGGGAAUACGAAGGGUGCAAGCGUUACUCGGAAUUACUGGGCGUAAAGCGUGCGUAGGUGGUGGUUUAAGUCCGUUGUGAAAGCCCUGGGCUCAACCUGGGAAUUGCAGUGGAUACUGGGUCACUAGAGUGUGGUAGAGGAUAGUGGAAUUUCCGGUGUAGCAGUGAAAUGCGUAGAGAUCGGAAGGAACAUCUGUGGCGAAGGCGACUAUCUGGGCCAACACUGACACUGAGGCACGAAAGCGUGGGGAGCAAACAGGAUUAGAUACCCGUGUAGUCCCUGUCUCUUAUCA
RNAcentral lists this ribosomal RNA (301 nucleotides) under uncultured bacterium. RNAcentral's name for it is "partial 16S ribosomal RNA". It matches the Rfam family "Bacterial small subunit ribosomal RNA", at positions 509 to 809 of the family's 1533-position model. The record is from RNAcentral.